GGCGGGACGGAUGACUGGGGUGAAGUCGUAACAAGGUAGCCGUAUCGGAAGGUGCGGCUGGAUCACCUCCUUUCUAGGGAA
This 81-nucleotide ribosomal RNA is filed under the name Blautia sp. An81. RNAcentral describes it as "partial 16S ribosomal RNA". It matches the Rfam family "Bacterial small subunit ribosomal RNA", at positions 1461 to 1533 of the family's 1533-position model. Lineage: Bacteria; Bacillati; Bacillota; Clostridia; Lachnospirales; Lachnospiraceae. The record is from RNAcentral.